RNAcentral lists this unclassified non-coding RNA (258 nucleotides) under Hevea brasiliensis (rubber tree). The record is from RNAcentral. Lineage: Eukaryota; Viridiplantae; Streptophyta; Magnoliopsida; Malpighiales; Euphorbiaceae.
GCCUCCACAUUCACCAGCCUCAUCAAUCUUUUCACCUCCGCGCAAGUAAUAUUCUCAGUAGUACUACCACCACCACCACCAUCACCUCCUUCCUUGCUGCUAUUGCUGUGAUCACCAGCAUCAGUAGUGAAAAACUGCGACGACGAUGAUGUUGUUGACAUUAACACUCUCUUGCUCAAUAACACUAGUUCCCUCGCCCUUCCGCUUUGUUGAAUUGGAGCCCAUCCCAUUCCCAACAACAGCGACGGCGGAGGAGCG